This 653-nucleotide ribosomal RNA is filed under the name uncultured marine eukaryote. Its description in RNAcentral is "SSU rRNA". It matches the Rfam family "Eukaryotic small subunit ribosomal RNA", at positions 608 to 1262 of the family's 1831-position model. The record is from RNAcentral.
AGUUGUUGUGGUUAAAAAGCUCGUAGUUGGAUCUCAACAGCCUUGAAGCGGUUAACUUUGUAGUUUUACUGCUUUAUAGGCUGUGCUUUUGCUGGAGGUUUAGGGGUGCUCUUGAUCGAGUGUCUCUGGAUGCCAGCAGGUUUACUUUGAAAAAAUUAGAGUGCUCAAAGCAGGCUAAAAUGCCUGAAUAUUCGUGCAUGGAAUAAUAGAAUAGGAUGUCGAUCCUAUUUUGUUGGUUUUCGGGACUCGACAUAAUGAUAAAUAGGGACAGUCGGGGGCAUUUGUAUUCAAACGACAGAGGUGAAAUUCUUGGACCGUUUGAAGACAAACUACUGCGAAAGCAUUUGCCAAGAAUGUUUUCAUUAAUCAAGAGCGAAAGUUAGAGGUUCGAAGGCGAUUAGAUACCGCCCUAGUUCUAACCAUAAACGAUGCCAGCUAGCGAUCUGCCUGCGUUUUUACUGUAGACUGGGCAGGAAGCUUCCGGGAAACCAAAGCAUUUGGGUUCCAGGGGAAGUAUGGUUGCAAAGCUGAAACUUAAAGGAAUUGACGGAAGGGCACCACCAGGAGUGGAGCCUGUGGCUUAAUUUGACUCAACACGGGAAUUCUCACCAGGCCCGGACACUGGAAGGAUUGACAGAUUGAUAGCUCUUUCU